GACGUAGGGCGCGAGCGUUGUCCGGAUUUAUUGGGCGUAAAGAGCUCGUAGGCGGUUUGUCGCGUCGUUCGUGAAAACUCACAGCUUAACUGUCAGCUUGCGGUCGAUACGGGCAGGCUAGAGUUCGGUAGGGGAGACUGGAAUUCCUGGUGUAGCGGUGAAAUGCGCAGAUAUCAGGAGGAACACCGGUGGCGAAGGCGGGUCUCUGGGCCGAUACUGACGCUGAGGAGCGAAAGCGUGGGGAGCGAACAGG
RNAcentral lists this ribosomal RNA (253 nucleotides) under uncultured bacterium. RNAcentral describes it as "partial 16S ribosomal RNA". It matches the Rfam family "Bacterial small subunit ribosomal RNA", at positions 524 to 776 of the family's 1533-position model. The record is from RNAcentral.